Small nuclear RNA from Acomys russatus (golden spiny mouse), 108 nucleotides. The record is from RefSeq and is a predicted model, not a curated record. Lineage: Eukaryota; Metazoa; Chordata; Mammalia; Rodentia; Muridae.
GUAGAUCAUGCUCCCUCUGCAUAUACUAAAGUUGGAACAAUACAGAGAAGAUUAGCAUGGCCCCUGUGCAAGGAUGACAUGCAAAUUCGUGAAGCAUUACAUAUUUUU